This 76-nucleotide transfer RNA is filed under the name Candidatus Saccharimonadota bacterium. RNAcentral's name for it is "tRNA-Met". It matches the Rfam family "tRNA". Rfam says of the family: Transfer RNA (tRNA) molecules are approximately 80 nucleotides in length. Their secondary structure includes four short double-helical elements and three loops (D, anti-codon, and T loops). Lineage: Bacteria; Candidatus Saccharimonadota. The record is from RNAcentral.
CGCGGGGUGGAGCAGCGGUUAGCUCGGAUGGCUCAUAACCAUCAGGUCGCAAGUUCAAAUCUUGCCCCCGCAACCA